AUCUUACCACAGACAUCCUUUGUCACCCAGACAGCCCAUUACCUGUCUUCAAGUUCCUUUCUUUACAUCUGUAUCACAAAGAAUGGGUACAGGCGUCCAUCAUCUGUGGUAACUGAGAACUGUUCUUGGGAUGAUGUGAAACAUGUUUUCUUGGCAGUGAACUUACGUAGAUAGGGAAGCACUUUCUUCAACCUUCUGCUGUCAGGGAAAUGAUAUACAAUAAUAGAAAAUUUACAACAGCUUAAAAUUGA
Non-coding RNA from Rattus norvegicus (Norway rat), 251 nucleotides. The record is from RefSeq and is a predicted model, not a curated record. NCBI's taxonomy places the organism in Eukaryota, Metazoa, Chordata, Mammalia, Rodentia, Muridae.